This 208-nucleotide long non-coding RNA is filed under the name Lathyrus oleraceus (garden pea). Its description in RNAcentral is "Pisum sativum (pea) long non-coding RNA (PSAT_LNC017118)". The record is from RNAcentral. Lineage: Eukaryota; Viridiplantae; Streptophyta; Magnoliopsida; Fabales; Fabaceae.
UGCAAUUGCACAAGAUCUUGGGUUUUUAUCUGCAAUGCAUCAACACAGUGGUGUGAGCAAAACAGAAGACACACUGAAUAGCAGGGGAUAGGUUGCUUAUCCCUUGGUUCUGCCAAUUGCCUCUUCACUUAGGAGGUCUUUGACUCUGUACAAGGACAAAUUUAAACAUACACAAGCAUUGCCUCUUAAGGAGGACUUCAGACAGUUU